Molecule: ribosomal RNA, 491 nt
Filed under: uncultured bacterium
Lineage: Bacteria
Description: partial 16S ribosomal RNA
Rfam family: Bacterial small subunit ribosomal RNA
Source: RNAcentral
GUGAACGCUGGCGGUAGGCCUAACACAUGCAAGUCGCACGGCAGCACAGUAAGAGCUUGCUCUUACGGGUGGCGAGUGGCGGACGGGUGAGGAAUACAUCGGAAUCUACUUUUUCGUGGGGGAUAACGUAGGGAAACUUACGCUAAUACCGCAUACGACCUACGGGUGAAAGCAGGGGAUCUUCGGACCUUGCGCGAUUGAAUGAGCCGAUGUCGGAUUAGCUAGUUGGCGGGGUAAAGGCCCACCAAGGCGACGAUCCGUAGCUGGUCUGAGAGAAUGAUCAGCCACACUGGAACUGAGACACGGUCCAGACUCCUACGGGAGGCAGCAGUGGGGAAUAUUGGACAAUGGGCGCAAGCCUGAUCCAGCCAUACCGCGUGGGUGAAGAAGGCCUUCGGGUUGUAAAGCCCUUUUGUUGGGAAAGAAAAGCAGCAGGUUAAUACCCCGCUGUUCUGACGGUACCCAAAGAAUAAGCACCGGCUAACUUCGUG